RNAcentral lists this ribosomal RNA (429 nucleotides) under Acidobacteriota bacterium. RNAcentral describes it as "Acidobacteria bacterium partial 16S ribosomal RNA". It matches the Rfam family "Bacterial small subunit ribosomal RNA", at positions 355 to 776 of the family's 1533-position model. The record is from RNAcentral. Lineage: Bacteria; Pseudomonadati; Acidobacteriota.
UGGGGAAUUUUGGACAAUGGGGGAAACCCUGAUCCAGCCAUCCCGCGUGUGCGAUGAAGGCCUUCGGGUUGUAAAGCACUUUUGGCAGGAAAGAAACGUCAUGGGUUAAUACCCCAUGAAACUGACGGUACCUGCAGAAUAAGCACCGGCUAACUACGUGCCAGCAGCCGCGGUAAUACGUAGGGUGCAAGCGUUAAUCGGAAUUACUGGGCGUAAAGCGUGCGCAGGCGGUUCGGAAAGAAAGAUGUGAAAUCCCAGAGCUCAACUUUGGAACUGCAUUUUUAACUACCGGGCUAGAGUGUGUCAGAGGGAGGUGGAAUUCCGCGUGUGGCAGUGAGAUGCGUAGAUAUGCGGAGGAACACCGAUGGCGAAGGCAGCCUCCUGGGAUAACACUGACGAUCAUGCACGAAAGCGUGGGGAGCAAACAGG